GGAACAAGUAAUUCAGUUGAUCGCCAGUGAUAAACUUACAGUUCCAUCUGAAGAAAAAGUAUUUGAAAGUGUUAUUCGUUGGGUGAAAUAUGAAUCGGGUUCAAGAAAGCUUAUUUUACCUGAAUUAAUGGAACACGUUCGUUUGCCAUUAACAUCAAAGGAUUUCUUAUUAAAAAAGUAGCCGUAGAACCUCUUAUUAAGAAUUGUGUCAAAUGUAAAGAAUACAUCGACGAGGUAUUAAAUUUUCAUAGACAGAAGUCAAAAGACCUGAUUCCACAUAAUAUCCGGAAUAAUCCUAGACAUGGAGAUAAAGUUAUCUAAUUAGUUGUUAGUAGGUUUGAUACUAACAAAUUGAUCAGUACAAAAUUUUAUGAAAUAAAAAUAAGCCGAUGGCAUUAUGGACCUGAAAUGAUAACAAACCGUAAAAAUGCUGGUCUAGCCGUAGUGAAAGAUAAUUUAGUGUUUGCUGUGGGUGGUUCUACUGAUAUGUUUCAUCAACUUUCGGUCUGUUGAUGUGCUUGAUUUAUCUGCAGAGUCACCUUGUUGGAGAUCAAGUGUU
Molecule: long non-coding RNA, 559 nt
Organism: Acyrthosiphon pisum (pea aphid)
Lineage: Eukaryota; Metazoa; Arthropoda; Insecta; Hemiptera; Aphididae
Exons: 4
Source: RefSeq, a predicted model, not a curated record